Molecule: ribosomal RNA, 751 nt
Filed under: Kocuria rosea
Lineage: Bacteria; Bacillati; Actinomycetota; Actinomycetes; Micrococcales; Micrococcaceae
Description: bacterial SSU rRNA
Rfam family: Bacterial small subunit ribosomal RNA
Source: RNAcentral
UGCUCAGGACGAACGCUGGCGGCGUGCUUAACACAUGCAAGUCGAACGAUGAUGCCCAGCUUGCUGGGCGGAUUAGUGGCGAACGGGUGAGUAAUACGUGAGUAACCUGCCCUUGACUCUGGGAUAAGCCUGGGAAACUGGGUCUAAUACUGGAUACUACCUCUUACCGCAUGGUGGGUGGUGGAAAGGGUUUUACUGGUUUUGGAUGGGCUCACGGCCUAUCAGCUUGUUGGUGGGGUAAUGGCUCACCAAGGCGACGACGGGUAGCCGGCCUGAGAGGGUGACCGGCCACACUGGGACUGAGACACGGCCCAGACUCCUACGGGAGGCAGCAGUGGGGAAUAUUGCACAAUGGGCGGAAGCCUGAUGCAGCGACGCCGCGUGAGGGAUGACGGCCUUCGGGUUGUAAACCUCUUUCAGUAGGGAAGAAGCGAGAGUGACGGUACCUGCAGAAGAAGCGCCGGCUAACUACGUGCCAGCAGCCGCGGUAAUACGUAGGGCGCAAGCGUUGUCCGGAAUUAUUGGGCGUAAAGAGCUCGUAGGCGGUUUGUCGCGUCUGCUGUGAAAGCCCGGGGCUCAACCCCGGGUCUGCAGUGGGUACGGGCAGACUAGAGUGCAGUAGGGGAGACUGGAAUUCCUGGUGUAGCGGUGAAAUGCGCAGAUAUCAGGAGGAACACCGAUGGCGAAGGCAGGUCUCUGGGCUGUUACUGACGCUGAGGAGCGAAAGCAUGGGGAGCGAACAGGAUUAGUA